Molecule: non-coding RNA, 1642 nt
Organism: Anas platyrhynchos (mallard)
Lineage: Eukaryota; Metazoa; Chordata; Aves; Anseriformes; Anatidae
Source: RefSeq, a predicted model, not a curated record
AACGCCUCUCAUCCACUCACCGAGGCAUGCAGGAAAUAAGCAUGAGAAAAUUGUAACGCUCCCAAUCUGCUGGUUUUGCCAGCUAUGAAGAAAACCAUGUGAAAACAUUUUCAGGCAGGUCGACUCAGAGAAUCUCCAAACCAAAACUCAUCAUUUCCAUGGGGGGAGGGGGGGAAAUCCAGUACUGAUAAGCCAUUGACUUCAAAUUUGAAACAGGGACAAUUUUGUCUCCAUUAUUGCCCACAUCUGCUAUUUCCAAGGAAUGGGAAAGCACCACGUCAGAUAACCCUGUGACUAAACUUCCUGGUGCUGCGCUCCCCUGACCAAGUUUCCCACCAUUUAUUAUCGGCAGCACCCAGGAAAAGGCCCGAAGCCCCGUCGUGCUCGCUGCUGCAUAAAGCACAGCGAUGAGUCUGCCUAACAGACCUCGAUAAUCAGUAAACACAGCAGAUAAACGGUGAGAAAAGACAAAGAGGAAGAUUGCUAUCCCCAUGUUACAGACAGGACUGAGACACGAAAUUAGGUGACGUGCCAAAACCACACAGUCUCUGGCAUUCAGAAAUUGAGUCUCCGGCUCCUCAGAGCUAAUCUCAACAAUAAGGCUGUCAGUCCUGCUCAGAUGCAAACACCUUUGACCCCGGUAAGCUCAGAAUUAUACACACAUCAAUUCAGACUUUGAAGCCUGGCUUAUCUCUCGCUGGUGUAACUGUCCCCUCCGCUGUAACUAACCGGGCUGGCGGAGGGGAAACACUACCAAGGAAGAAGAAAAGAAAAACAAAACCCCGCAGCUCGGGCAGAAAUCGCUGUCUGGCGUUUGCUGUGGGCUCCCUCCAUCGUGGCAGAGCCCAGAGGGCUUCACAGCUUGUGCGUGGGGGAAUGCAUUAAUUGCUACCUGGCCAGCGUAAGGAGCUAACUGGGGAAUCCAACAGCACAAAGCGACUCUGCAGACGAGCCAAGAGAAGAACUGUUUUGGUAUCGGAUCACAAAGUGCCUGCGGAGAUUCCCAUCAGUGAAGAAGCUGCAACGUGACCCAAAAGCUCAGCGUCUGCAUUCCUGGAGAAAAAAACCAUCACAGUCCUGCUCCAGUUAUCUCACCAAAGGCAAGCUGCUUAAUAGGAAGCACACCAAGAGAUACCUCCGCGUGCUGCAAUGCCUUGCCCAUCGUGAUGAAUCGAGUACCGCGUGUCUGCAGGUUACAGGCACCUUGCACCUCCAGCAGCCCAGCUCCACCUCCAGCCGAGCACCCAACAGCGCUGCUGGUGGGAGCAGCCGGGGGAAGGAGGAACCAAAGGCAUAAGAAACUUUUUCAGAGGCAGCAGGAUCUUCCUAAGCGGAGCCUCGCUCAGCCUGCCCGCUGCUCGCUGAGCCAGGAGAAGGAGCACGGCUCCGGAGAGGUGCAAGCACGCCCGGCUCUGCGGCACCCCGCUGGACGUGGGCAGGCAGUCUGUGUGCGAGGCCCUCGGUGUCAGGCCCUCCCAAGCCCCCUGGGAGCUGACGGAGGGAGGUGGGCAGCAGCUUCACGGGGGCUUUCCCUCCCCAGGCUGUGACAAACGGGUGGUUCCCUACCUGGCAAUCUGCACAGCUGCCCGGCCGCUGCGCUCGCAGCAAACACAGCCAAAAACCAGCUCCUGGCUGGUAGGGA